AUACAAAUUAGUGAUGUGGGGUUGAAGUAGGGUGAUGAGAGCCACAUCCUACACUAGUGACUAAUUCCUAACCAAGUGGCAGUUGAUCUGUUACAGCAAAUACUUCACAUUUUGGCAUUGUGUUUUCCUCAAAACAUGACAUCUCUCCCAGUCUGAUC
This is a non-coding RNA of Ceratotherium simum simum (southern white rhinoceros), 158 nucleotides long. NCBI's taxonomy places the organism in Eukaryota, Metazoa, Chordata, Mammalia, Perissodactyla, Rhinocerotidae. The record is from RefSeq and is a predicted model, not a curated record.